This 23-nucleotide non-coding RNA is filed under the name Rattus norvegicus (Norway rat). The record is from RNAcentral. Lineage: Eukaryota; Metazoa; Chordata; Mammalia; Rodentia; Muridae.
CUUUUCUGAUGCCUGCAUCCCUU